GAGAGAUUCGGGCAAUGAGAACAUUUCAAUGGUUUUCAAGUUAGGUAGAGAUUUCAAGCAAUAUCAAAGCAAAAUGCAAUAGUGCAGCUAUAACAUCCAUUUUACUGAAUUGUACAGUCAUACUGUAGCAUGAGCUUAGUCUCUCAAACAAUACGUUUAGCCUCACUGUAGCUCUGGUCCAGGGUCUUAGGACACGUUCAACACGGGACCAGAUCUAGCCUCACUGUAGCUCUGGUCCAGGGUCUUAGGACACGUUCAACACGGGACCAGAUCUAGCCUCACUGUAGCUCUGGUCCAGGGUCUUAGGACACGUUCAACACGGGACCAGAUCUAGCCUCACUGUAGCUCUGGUCCAGGGUCUUAGGACACGUUCAACACGGGACCAGAUCUAGCCUCACUGUAGCUCUGGUCCAGGGUCUUAGGACACGUUCAACACGGGACCAGAUCUAGCCUCACUGCAGACAGAGAAAGACAUUAGAGCAGAUUCUCACAAGCUCCAUGGUGGCC
Oncorhynchus keta (chum salmon) is the source of this 507-nucleotide long non-coding RNA. RefSeq lists it as uncharacterized. The transcript is spliced from 3 exons. The record is from RefSeq and is a predicted model, not a curated record. NCBI's taxonomy places the organism in Eukaryota, Metazoa, Chordata, Actinopteri, Salmoniformes, Salmonidae.